This 207-nucleotide ribosomal RNA is filed under the name uncultured bacterium. Its description in RNAcentral is "partial 16S ribosomal RNA". It matches the Rfam family "Bacterial small subunit ribosomal RNA", at positions 568 to 774 of the family's 1533-position model. The record is from RNAcentral.
UGCGUAGGUGGCGCCAUAAGUCAGGUGUGAAAUCUCGGGGCUUAACUCCGAAACUGCAUUUGAUACUGUGGUGCUUGAGGACUGGAGAGGAGACUGGAAUUCACGGUGUAGCAGUGAAAUGCGUAGAUAUCGUGAGGAAGACCAGUGGCGAAGGCGGGUCUCUGGAUAGUUCCUGACACUGAGGCACGAAGGCCAGGGGAGCAAACG